GGUGGAGGGUGAGGAGCUCGUUCCCCAGGUGACUUGGAGCCAGGAGGGUGCUCACGUGAGGGGACAGGGGACGGGCAGUUUGGAGAAGUCACAUCUUGGCCUCGUGCUCAAGACACAUGAGUAGGAGCUCGGGCUUUUGCAAAGUCACGUCGGUUUCCUACACUGCGUUCCCAUCACCCUGUCACCAUCCCAAAAGACCCACGUGAGCUGUGCUGAUUUGCAUUUUGAGACAUGGCCGGAUCUGCAAGGUCAGAGACCAGAGGGUCAACUAUGGACACCUCUUGUGGCAAAGCAACAGACAGGCCACGUCACUUUAGCUUUCACCUUUCUGUGUUUCAGAUGAGGAGAAGAAAACGUUAGGCUCCUUUCGGUUAAAAAAUAAGCAACAAACAAAAACCUUGCAUCUAGCCUGGCAGCCUGGUUAGCCUGUGCUCCUGCUCCUGUCCACAGGGCUCCCGGGCGGCUUCCACACUAGGGGCCAUGUUGCUUCAAGAGUCCUGAUGGUCAACGCCUUCUCCCUCCACUAAAUUACCCGCAGACGUGGAGCAGAGUUUGCUGCCAAUUAAUUCAUAAAAUGAAAUAUUUUGUAUGCAAAUCUAAUUUCUUAGCUGUCAGCUUGUAUUUGCCAAUGUGGCAAGAUUUUAUUUGUUUCUAUUAUAAAACCAAAUCCCUAAAACUCUAAGUUCUUAAUAUUUUGGAAUUUCAAUUAUCCACCGUGAUUGUAUCUCUAUUUAUGGUCGCAUUUGCAUGCAGUGAGAGCUGGCGGUAAACAAAAGUGACGUUUGAAGUGGGAAGAGCUGUUUGAACCUCCAGCGAGAGCUUGAUACUGUUAUUUGCCCGAGAAAAGUCAUUUUCCGGCCAUGUCAUUCCUUCAGCCCGCGACGUUGCCCACACGCAGCCCCCAGCCCCUGCUGCUCUCAUAUGGUGAGCCGCGACACCCGACUGGAAAGGAGGAGAGAGCUCAGCAGAAGACAGAGGGCUCACAGAAGUCCAUGCCACGAAGGCCGAAUUCUCCCAGUGCAGGACAAGCGUUGCCAGCAGUGAUGGAAGAGUCCCUGCCUUCCACUGUCAAGAGGGAGUGAAUGGAGGAGGAGUGGGAGAGAGAAAGAAAGCAGAGGCGGGAAUACAUGGAUGAGCAGUGAAGUCUUGGAUGGGCAGGUGUGUAAACGCAGAGUCUCCGAGGAGACCAGCCUAAUUGAUGGAGGAGUGAGGCAGCUGCUACUGAGCUCACAGGGUUCACAUGCUCACCCUCUGCAUCAGGGCUAUUUUGAUCACGUUCAGAGGCCCCUUUUAUUUUAGGAGGUAGAGUGUAUGUAGCGCUCAUCACCUCCAUUUGAUGGUUGUGGAGAUGCGUAGAUGGGCAAACAAUUUGCUAGAGGUUUCUCAGCUCACAAGUAGGAGGGGCAGGAUUCCAAUCCUGUUCCUGGCUCUUUAUUCCUGUGCCAGAGAAACGUGAGAGCAGGAAGACCUGGCCCCUUCUCAGGUGAGGCCAGGGGAGGAUGGCCAGUCCCACAUCCUGUUGCCUGAGUCCCUGGGACCAGUGGUGAUAGGAGUAAUAUCCUAUCACCUGGAACAGUAGGAACCUGUGGGGUGACAGAGAGGCCCCGCCUAGCACUUACUUUGCCUGAGUCCCCUGGACCAGUGGUGAUAGGAGUAAUAUAAAGUCCUGGAGCAGUAGGAACCUGUGGGGGUGAGAGAGACCUCCCACCUUGCACUUGCCUUUUGCCCCGGCACAGGCCUGCGUUUUACAUGCUUUCCGACAUGAAGGGAAACAUGGUGGGGUCCACUGCGGAUGACCGAGAGCACACAGAAAAUUCACUCUUCCUCAGGCACUAGCCUCAACAUUUGCUCCCCUUUUCAGAUAAUGAUGGUCCUCUUUGCUUGGCUUAUAGCGGUAGCUAUUUGGGGGAUUAGGGAUAAACCAGACUUAGAUCAUAUUAGCCCAUCUUUCUCCCAGAGAACUCCUUAACAGGUAAUCUGGGAUGCAGAAUGCAGUGUCAGUAGUUUAGCUUGUAGGUUGCUUCUUCCUCUCGUCCCUAAUUUUCCCAUUGGUGGCAGCUCAGCUGGCGUGCACUUUCCCAGAAAAGCGUGAAUUGGGAGCAUAAUGUGAUUCCAUGGCUGCCUUCUAAUACAACUCUUGCG
Molecule: long non-coding RNA, 2142 nt
Filed under: Homo sapiens (human)
Lineage: Eukaryota; Metazoa; Chordata; Mammalia; Primates; Hominidae
Description: HSALNT0170217
Source: RNAcentral